AAGUGCUCAUUUUGAUUUGAUACUGCUCGGUUACAUGAGGUAGAACUUUCCUUUGUUUCGUUAUAUGCUAGAAGAGGGUUAAGGGAUAGAAAUGUAAAAGACUAGCACCAUUUGCGUGUGCUUCCCAUUCCCCUAUGCAGCUACACAGUGGGGGC
Long non-coding RNA from Dermochelys coriacea (leatherback sea turtle), 155 nucleotides. RefSeq lists it as uncharacterized. NCBI's taxonomy places the organism in Eukaryota, Metazoa, Chordata, Testudines, Dermochelyidae. The transcript has 3 exons. The record is from RefSeq and is a predicted model, not a curated record.